RNAcentral lists this long non-coding RNA (201 nucleotides) under Mytilus galloprovincialis (Mediterranean mussel). The record is from RNAcentral. Lineage: Eukaryota; Metazoa; Mollusca; Bivalvia; Mytilida; Mytilidae.
UUCCGUUCAAUCAUCCGACCUUGAUCUAUGUUGUUUUCGUUGUAUGUUUGUUUUGUAUAUUGCAAGUAUCCGAUAGAGAUAGUUCACAAGUUAGCACCGAAUGGUCUGGCAUAGUUGCCCCGGCAGCAGGUUGUAUUUCAAAUUGACUGAUAAUGUCCGAAAUUAAAUUAACUUUAAAAUUCGAGUAGUUAGUGAGAUCAG